UACGGAGGGUGCAAGCGUUAUCCGGAUUCACUGGGUUUAAAGGGUGCGUAGGCGGGCAGGUAAGUCAGUGGUGGAAAUCCUUGAGCUUAACUCGAGAACUGCCAUUGAUACUAUCUGUCUUGAAUAUUGUGGAGGUAAGCGGAAUAUGUCAUGUAGCGGUGAAAUGCUUAGAUAUGACAUAGAACACCUAUUGCGAAGGCAGCUUACUACGCAUAUAUUGACGCUGAGGCACGAAAGCGUGGGGAUCAAAACAGG
This 255-nucleotide ribosomal RNA is filed under the name uncultured bacterium. RNAcentral describes it as "partial 16S ribosomal RNA". It matches the Rfam family "Bacterial small subunit ribosomal RNA", at positions 524 to 776 of the family's 1533-position model. The record is from RNAcentral.